UGAUGUUUGCUAGUUAGUUCUUGCUAGUGUUGUAUGUGCAAGUGCUUGUGUGUUUACAAGUUGUUAUUUUUGCUAGUGAUGUGUGUAUGUUUUUUUCUGUUGCUGAACUGAUGCUCUGGUUGAAUUCUUGUGAACAUGUGAUCUGUUGUUUGUUUUAGCCUAAAUUUGCCAAAGGGGGAGUUUGUUGGUUCUAUGAAUUGGCAUCAAUUUUGGUAAAACUUAGUGUUAUCACAAGAUGUCACACUAUUCUUGACAUGUGAUAUUACCUUUCUGCAGGUUGUUUGAUAUGGUUAUGCAGGAUUUAUUCAAGAUGUCAG
RNAcentral lists this long non-coding RNA (317 nucleotides) under Lathyrus oleraceus (garden pea). Its description in RNAcentral is "Pisum sativum (pea) long non-coding RNA (PSAT_LNC033020)". Lineage: Eukaryota; Viridiplantae; Streptophyta; Magnoliopsida; Fabales; Fabaceae. The record is from RNAcentral.